GACGUAGGGGGCAAGCGUUGUUCGGAAUUAUUGGGCGUAAAGCGCUCGUAGGCGGGACUGGAAGUCCGUGUUGAAAGACCUCGGCUCAACUGAGGGACCGGCUCGGAUACUCUAGUUCUUGAGGCAAUCAGAGGGUGAUGGAAUUCCCGGUGUAGCGGUGAGAUGCGUAGAUAUCGGGAGGAACACCAGUGGCGAAGGCGAUCACCUGGGGUUGUUCUGACGCUGAGGAGCGAAAGCUAGGGGAGCAAACGGG
Molecule: ribosomal RNA, 253 nt
Filed under: uncultured bacterium
Lineage: Bacteria
Description: partial 16S ribosomal RNA
Rfam family: Bacterial small subunit ribosomal RNA
Source: RNAcentral